Molecule: ribosomal RNA, 253 nt
Filed under: uncultured prokaryote
Description: partial 16S ribosomal RNA
Rfam family: Bacterial small subunit ribosomal RNA
Source: RNAcentral
UACGUAGGUGGCGAGCGUUAUCCGGAAUUACUGGGCGUAAAGCGCACGCAGGCGGUCUUUUAAGUUUGACGUGAAAGCUCCCGGCUUAACUGGGAGAGGUCGUUGAAUACUGGGAGACUUGAGGCAAUGAGAGGGGUGUAGAAUUCCAGGUGUAGUGGUGGAAUGCGUAGAUAUCUGGAGGAAUACCAGUGGCGAAAGCGGCACCCUAGCGUUGUUCUGACGCUCAUGUGCGAAAGCGUGGGGAGCGAACGGG